RNAcentral lists this long non-coding RNA (858 nucleotides) under Homo sapiens (human). Its description in RNAcentral is "HSALNT0379818". The record is from RNAcentral. Lineage: Eukaryota; Metazoa; Chordata; Mammalia; Primates; Hominidae.
UCAGCUUCAAUAAGAUAUAAUUGUACCCAAUGAAGGUCAUCACUUUCAGGAAGCAUCUGGACGAACAGUCCUGCCACGCUCUUUGAAGUUCCCGACACAUGGGUUGUAGGCUGUCAUGAAUGUGUACGUGCUUAACCAGUGAAUUCCAUGUUGCUCGUGUGAGGCCUUUCCUGUCAUGACCCACUGUGCUUAAGAACCUGCCUGAUGGGGAGUGUCGGCUGUGAAAUCUGCAAAAAGAGCUGACGUUCCGGCUGCCGUGAUCAUGAAUUGGGGGUGUACUCUCCUGCCUGUGCAUCUUCUCGCGCUGAGAUUUUGAGGCGGUUGCAGCCCUCGGUUAGUCUCCCAGUGGAGAGAAAUCAGUUGUGCCUCCCUGCUUCCCACCAUAGCUGCCUGAAAACAUGACGCUCUUACGCUUGUCCUUCCAUCAGGAAGGUGUCCACUCACGCCCACCCAUGAGGGGGCUUGCCGUAUGCCCUGGCCUUUGGGCAUAUUUAUGUAGAGUUCCUUUCUCCUAAGACGUGAGUUUCUGAUGGGGGAUGUACGAGUAAAAAGGUUAACUUCUGUUCUUAUGCGUGGCGCUGUGUUCACUUUCCAGAGUCUGUUUGGAUGGCGGUCUCGGGGUACGGCAGCGUGUGUGUGUAUGUGUGUUUGUGUGUGUGUGUGUGUGUGUGAAAUCGUGCAAAUCUACAUGUCCCAGCCCAUUCUCUGUUGAAACAGAUCACAGCAACGACAAACACUCAUGGCGCCGCUUCACUCCACCCGCUUCAGAUAGAUCAUUGUUAGAUAUUUCACAUUUUUGUAUGGUGGAAAUAAAAAUGAAAAAUGUAUUUCCAAAAGAUGAAAAUUAAAGACAUUUUC